RNAcentral lists this ribosomal RNA (490 nucleotides) under uncultured bacterium. Its description in RNAcentral is "partial 16S ribosomal RNA". It matches the Rfam family "Bacterial small subunit ribosomal RNA", at positions 30 to 507 of the family's 1533-position model. The record is from RNAcentral.
AUUGAACGCUGGCGGCAGGCCUAACACAUGCAAGUCGAACGGUAACAGGAAGCAGCUUGCUGCUUUGCUGACGCGUGGCGGACGGGUGAGUCAUGUCUGGGAAACUGCCCGAUGGAGGGGGAUAACUACUGGAAACGGUAGCUAAUACCGCAUAACGUCGCAAGACCAAAGAGGGGGACCUUAGGGCUUCUUGCCUUCGGAUGUGCCCAGAUGGGAUUAGCUAGUAGGUGGGGUAACGGCUCACCUAGGCGACGAUCCCUAGCUGGUCUGAGAGGAUGACCAGCCACACUGGAACUGAGACACGGUCCAGACUCCUACGGGAGGCAGCAGUGGGGAAUAUUGCACAAUGGGCGCAAGCCUGAUGCAGCCAUGCCGCGUGUAUGAAGAAGGCCUUCGGGUUGUAAAGUACUUUCAGCGGGGAGGAAGGGAGUAAAGUUAAUACCUGUGCUCAUUGACGUUACCCGCAGAAGAAGCACCGGCUAACUCCGUG